AAUCAAGCGCGAGAAGGGCGUUUGGUGGAUGCCUAGGCAGUAAGAGGCGAUGAAGGACGUGAUACCCUGCGAUAAGCUUUGGGGAGCCGGGAAUAGGCUUUGAUCCAAAGAUCUCCGAAUGGGGCAACCCACUUGAAUGUUUGUUAUUGUUGUCUUCGGACAGUCAAUAACUUGCAUAACCAAGUACUUAUUACCUGAAUACAUAGGGUUUUAAGAGCAAACCCGGGGAACUGAAACAUCUAAGUACCCGGAGGAAAGGACAUCAAUUAGAGACUCCCCUAGUAGCGGCGAGCGAACGGGGACCAGCCGAGCCUGAUGAGUGACUAGAAUGCGCUGGAAAACGCAGCCAUAGCGGGUGAUAGCCCCGUAUAGGAAGCUCUGAGGGACGUAUUAAGUAGGGCGGGACACGUGAAAUCCUGUCUGAAGAUCGGAGGACCACCUCCGAAGGCUAAGUACUCCUUACUGACCGAUAGUGAACCAGUACCGUGAGGGAAAGGUGAAAAGCACCCCGACGAGGGGAGUGAAACAGUUUCUGAAACCGGACGCCUACAAGCAGUCGGAGGAGCCUUUAUUGAGCUCUGACGGCGUACCUUUUGUAUAAUGGGUCAUCGACUUGGUCUUACUAGCAAGCUUAAGCCGUUAGGUGUAGGCGCAGCGAAAGCGAGUCUUAAUAGGGCGAAUGAGUUAGUGGGAUCAGACCCGAAACCGAGUGAUCUAGGCAUGAUCAGGAUGAAGGUUGGGUAACACCAACUGGAGGUCCGAACCCACACCUGUUGAAAAAGGUCGGGAUGAAUUGUGCCUAGGGGUGAAAGGCCAAUCAAACUCGGAGAUAGCUGGUUCUCUGCGAAAUCUAUUUAGGUAGAGCGUCAUCCGAAUACCCCGGGGGGUAGAGCACUGGAUGGGUAAUGGGGCCCCACAGGCUUACUGAUCCUAACCAAACUCCGAAUACCCGGGAGUACUAGAUGGCAGACACACGGCGGGUGCUAACGUCCGUCGUGGAGAGGGAAACAACCCUGACCUCCAGCUAAGGCCCCUAAUUCAUGGCUAAGUGGGAAAGCAGGUGGGACGACCAAAACAACCAGGAGGUUGGCUUAGAAGCAGCCAUCCUUUAAAGAUAGCGUAACAGCUCACUGGUCUAGAUAAGUUGUCCUGCGGCGAAGAUGUAACGGGGCUCAAGCCAUGAGCCGAAGCUGAGGAUGUGCAUUUAUGCACGUGGUAGCAGAGCGUAGUGUGAUAUAGCACUUGCCUUUAUUAUCGCCUUUGGCACGCGAGCGCAGCAAUGUGCUCAAGUAGCCGCUAGGCGGUAGCACAAGGCACAGUGCUUUCUGUGAAGCUGGCGCGUGAGCGAUCCGGUGGAGAGAUCACUAGUGAGAAUGAUGACAUGAGUAGCGACAAAGAGGGUGAGAGACCCUCUCGCCGAAAGUCCAAGGGUUCCUGCUUAAAGCUAAUCUGAGCAGGGUAAGCCGACCCCUAAGGCGAGGCCGAAAGGCGUAGUCGAUGGGAAUCAGGUUAAUAUUCCUGAGCCAGUAGGAUGUGACGGAUCUCGAAGGUUGUUUCCCCUUAUUGGAUUGGGGAGGCCGCUUAGAGGUUCCUGGAAAUAGCCCUACAUGAGAUCGUACCCUAAACCGACACAGGUGGACUGGUAGAGAAUACCAAGGCGCUUGAGAGAACGAUGUUGAAGGAACUCGGCAAAAUACCUCCGUAAGUUCGCGAGAAGGAGGCCCGAUUGGUAGGCAACUAUCGGUCGGGGGCACAAACCAGGGGGUGGCGACUGUUUACUAAAAACACAGGGCUCUGCGAAGUCGUAAGACGACGUAUAGGGUCUGACGCCUGCCCGGUGCCUGAAGGUUAAAAGGAGGGGUGAGAGCUCCGAAUUGAAGCCCAGGUAAACGGCGGCCGUAACUAUAACGGUCCUAAGGUAGCGAAAUUCCUUGUCGGGUAAGUUCCGACCUGCACGAAUGGCGUAACGACUUCCCCGCUGUCUCCAACAUCGACUCAGCGAAAUUGAAUUGCCUGUCAAGAUGCAGGCUUCCCGCGGUUAGACGGAAAGACCCCGUGCACCUUUACUACAGCUUCACACUGGCAUCAGGCCAAGCAUGUGCAGGAUAGGUGGUAGGCUUUGAAGCAGAGACGCCAGUCUUUGUGGAGCCUCCCUUGAGAUACCACCCUUGCUUUGCUUGAUGUCUAACCGCGGUCCGUUAUCCGGAUCCGGGACCCUGUGUGGCGGGUAGUUUGACUGGGGCGGUCGCCUCCCAAAGAGUAACGGAGGCGCGCGAAGGUUGGCUCAGAGCGGUCGGAAAUCGCUCGUUGAGUGCAAUGGCAGAAGCCAGCCUGACUGCAAGACUGACAAGUCGAGCAGAGUCGAAAGACGGCCAUAGUGAUCCGGUGGUCCCAAGUGGGAGGGCCAUCGCUCAACGGAUAAAAGGUACGCCGGGGAUAACAGGCUGAUACUGCCCAAGAGUCCAUAUCGACGGCAGUGUUUGGCACCUCGAUGUCGGCUCAUCUCAUCCUGGGGCUGGAGCAGGUCCCAAGGGUACGGCUGUUCGCCGUUUAAAGAGGUACGUGAGCUGGGUUUAGAACGUCGUGAGACAGUUCGGUCCCUAUCUGCCGUGGGUGUAGGAUACUUGAGAGGAGUUGCCCCUAGUACGAGAGGACCGGGGUGAACGAUCCACUGGUGGACCAGUUGUCAUGCCAAUGGCAGUGCUGGGUAGCUAUGAUCGGAAAGGAUAACCGCUGAAGGCAUCUAAGCGGGAAGCCCCCCUCAAAACAAGGUAUCCCUGAGGACCGUGGAAGACCACCACGUCGAUAGGCCAGAGAUGUAAGCGCGGUAACGCGUUCAGUUGACUGGUACUAAUUGUCCGAUAGGCUUGAUUUG
Aquimixticola soesokkakensis is the source of this 2875-nucleotide ribosomal RNA. It matches the Rfam family "Bacterial large subunit ribosomal RNA". NCBI's taxonomy places the organism in Bacteria, Pseudomonadati, Pseudomonadota, Alphaproteobacteria, Rhodobacterales, Paracoccaceae. The record is from Rfam.